RNAcentral lists this microRNA (22 nucleotides) under Glycine max (soybean). RNAcentral describes it as "gma-miR4407". The record is from miRBase by way of RNAcentral. Lineage: Eukaryota; Viridiplantae; Streptophyta; Magnoliopsida; Fabales; Fabaceae.
CAGAGGAAGCAGCACUUGUACC